GAUGAACGCUGGCGGCGUGCCUAAUACAUGCAAGUCGAGCGAACAGACGAGGAGCUUGCUCCUCUGACGUUAGCGGCGGACGGGUGAGUAACACGUGGAUAACCGACCUAUAAGACUGGGAUAACUUCGGGAAACCGGAGCUAAUACCGGAUAAUAUAUUGAACCGCAUGGUUCAAUAGUGAAAGACGGUUUUGCUGUCACUUAUAGAUGGAUCCGCGCCGCAUUAGCUAGUUGGUAAGGUAACGGCUUACAAAGGCAACGAUGCGUAGCCGACCUGAGAGGGUGAUCGGCCACACUGGAACUGAGACACGGUCCAGACUCCUACGGGAGGCAGCAGUAGGGAAUCUUCCGCAAUGGGCGAAAGCCUGACGGAGCAACGCCGCGUGAGUGAUGAAGGUCUUCGGAUCGUAAAACUCUGUUAUUAGGGAAGAACAAAUGUGUAAGUAACUAUGCACGUCUUGACGGUACCUAAUCAGAAAGCCACGGCUAACUACGUG
Molecule: ribosomal RNA, 497 nt
Filed under: uncultured bacterium
Lineage: Bacteria
Description: partial 16S ribosomal RNA
Rfam family: Bacterial small subunit ribosomal RNA
Source: RNAcentral